RNAcentral lists this transfer RNA (70 nucleotides) under Homotoma ficus. RNAcentral's name for it is "tRNA-Gln". Lineage: Eukaryota; Metazoa; Arthropoda; Insecta; Hemiptera; Carsidaridae. The record is from RNAcentral.
UUACAUUAUAUUGUAGUAUAGCAUUUAAAUUUUUGAGAUUUAAGGAUUUAAUAUAAAAUUAAAUUAUGUA